RNAcentral lists this non-coding RNA (31 nucleotides) under Rattus norvegicus (Norway rat). The record is from RNAcentral. Lineage: Eukaryota; Metazoa; Chordata; Mammalia; Rodentia; Muridae.
UGAGCAACUAUUCUCAGAACUCUACCUCAGC